RNAcentral lists this ribosomal RNA (397 nucleotides) under uncultured bacterium. RNAcentral describes it as "partial 16S ribosomal RNA". It matches the Rfam family "Bacterial small subunit ribosomal RNA", at positions 523 to 918 of the family's 1533-position model. The record is from RNAcentral.
AUACGUAGGUGACAAGCGUUAUCCGGAUUUACUGGGCGUAAAGGGCGUGUAGGCGGUCUUGCAAGUCAGAAGUGAAAUUCCUGAGCUCAACUCGGGCGCUGCUUCUGAAACUGCAGGACUUGAGUGCUGGAGGGGAUAGCGGAAUUCCUAGUGGAGCGGUAAAAUGCGCAGAUAUUAGGAAGAACACCGGUGGCGAAGGCGGCUAUCUGGACAGUAACUGACGCUGAGGCGCGAAAGCGUGGGGAGCGAACAGGAUUAGAUACCCUGGUAGUCCACACUGUAAACGAUGAAUGCUAGGUGUAGGGGGUAUCGACCCCUUCUGUGCCGCAGUCAACACAAUAAGCAUUCCGCCUGGGGAGUACGGCCGCAAGGUUGAAACUCAAAUGAAUUGGCGGGG